GUCCCAGUAGCGUAAUGGAUAGCUUGUUGGACUUCUAAUCCAAAGACGAUGUGUUCGAAUACCUCCUGAGAUU
This is a non-coding RNA of Trichonephila clavipes, 73 nucleotides long. NCBI's taxonomy places the organism in Eukaryota, Metazoa, Arthropoda, Arachnida, Araneae, Nephilidae. The record is from the annotation of a GenBank genome assembly.